UUUUCUUUUUUUAUUUUCAUUAUUUUCUUCUUCUUUAAUAAGAAACUAUAUACUUAUUGCUUUAGUUACAUCAACUCCUCACUGUAUUGUUUAUCCUUGAGGUAUUAUGAAUCAAACAAAUUAAGUUAUGUGGUUACUCUAGCGUAUAAAUAUAUCGACAUUGCACUACUCUCAAUCGAACUGUGUGGAGAAUGCGUGAAAAUAAUCAAAUUAAACUAAAAAGCAUACACUCUAAAGAAAAAAAAAAUGCCUACCAAAACUAUACGAUUUCUAAAAAGUCCAAAAAUAGUUGGAAAUGCACAGUUAAGUGCAAAAAUUUAACAAAAUUUUACCUAACCCCUUCAAGAAACCCCAUAAACAAUUUUUGUUGUACCAAUUUGGCCAGUCAGCCGGCAGAUGAUUGUGCUACGAUGUGUUGGUAUGCGUGUGCGUGCGUGCGUUCGUAGUAAUUGCAAGCGGAAAAAAUUCUGAUAUUAAAAGAAAACAACAAAAUUUGAUGAUUUACAAAAAUUAACUUCUAGCGCUGAGUUGCUUAAAAUUAAAAAAUAAUGUGGCAAAAUUGAAAUGAAAUUAAUUUGCAAAAGUGUAAUUUAUUUACGCAAAAUUUUUUGAGAAUGAAUAAAGGAAACGAGUUUAUAAAGGAUAAUGGAAAAGUUUAAUAUCGAGCAGGAUCAAAUAAUAAACAAACAUUUGGAGAAAUGAUAUAUAAAAAAUAAAAUAAAUAUUGUUGAUGAAUAAAUACAAUAAACAUGUUGGGUGAAGCAUUGAUAAUGCGUGCUUGAAGAAAUUCAAUUGAAAUUAAUUGUUAAAAAGUAAAAAAUAAAUAGUUUUGUGUUUAAAAUAUAUAAAAAUGAAAUAAUUUGAAAGCAAUUUUUAUAAAAACGAUCUUUUUUUUGUUUUCUGAAAUUUGUGUUCUAGUUCGGUCAUUUUUUUUCUUGGUUUAUGAAAAUAUGCUUUCUAUAAGUAGAAUGGUUUCUGAAAGUUAUGCUCGAGUUAGUUUAAUUUUUAAUAAUUUAUGAAUAUUAUUAAAAAAAAAUAAAUUAUAAUAAAAAAAUAUAUAGUUUUUUUUGUUCUUUAAAAAAUUUUAAGCCAAAUUUUGAAACAUACUGACAACCUUGCAGUUAAGAGUUUUUUACGUUAGUGUUUCGGUUAAUUUAAAUUUUAAAUGGUUCUCAAUUACAAUAAUAAAACAUAAACGAAAAUUAAGAGUAAGUUUAUUUGUAGUUGUUGCAAGUAAUUAUAAAUACAUAUGGUAUAUAAUUUAUUUCAAAAAUAAAAACUUAUGCUAACUCAAAAUUCCAAAUUUGCAAAAUGUAGAGGAAAUUAGAGUUAUAUAGAGCAGUAGCGGUCAAAAUAUAGAAGAACAAAGUUAUAUUAGCGAUAUAAAGUUUUUGAGCAUGCAAUGAACGUAAAUACGUAACAUAACAAUGCAUAACAUGGCAUAACUUAACAUAACAUAGCAUAACAUAACCCAACUUAACUUAAGUUGACUUAACUUGAGUUGACUUAACGUAACGUAACAUAACUUAAUGCCACUUAACGUAACGUAACUUAACUUAAUGUAACUGAAUUUAAUGUGACUUAAUUUAAUGUAACUUAACUUAACUUAACUUGAUUUGACUUGACGUAACUUAACGACACUGUAACUCAACUAAACUUUCAUUGAUUUGACUUGACUGGACCUAAUUUCACUUGACUUGACAAUGGUUAACAUGACAUAACUUAACAUAACAUAACAUAAUAUGACAUAACUUAAUUUAACUUAACUUAACAUAACAUUGCAGAGCUGAGCAUAGCAUACAGACAAUUAUGUGUUUCAACAGGAAUUCAAGUUUGAUGCCUUCGGCAUAAAACAUACGGGUAAAUCAAAAUAAGUAAUAAUGACAUAUAUUAGAUUUGACUAAAUAAAGUAUAUUAGCAAAAAUUAAUGCAUAUUUAGUGAAAACUUUCUGUAUUAAAAGUUGAAGUAGUUUCCCAAAAUAGAAAAAAAGUAAAAGAAAAGUAGUAAAAAAAAAUUAAACUCCGAUAUCAAAUUAACUUCAAGCACUAAACAGUGCAAGGUGAAUAUUUAUGGAGUAUAAAUAUGUAGGGUCUAUAAUAAAUAGUUAUUAACAUCCUAACACCAUAUAAGAAAAUAAUAUACAUAUACUUACAACAAUUAAGCCAUUUAGCGACCUUUCAAGCUCCUUUGCCAGCCAACUUCAAUAAAGGAUGCGAAAUUUCGAAGUGUCGUAGAGUUUCAGUGUUUUGUGUACCUUGCCAAGACCAAAAAACUCGCUUAAGAUCAGCAGAAAAUUAUGAAAAAAGUAUGGCAUAGAAUUCUACUGUACCAACCAACUGAUGUUUCUGCUGAUUUGGAAACUCGCCAACAGUAAAAAACACUCUCUUAGCAUAUGUUUCUGCGUUUCCAUUAAAGCCUACUGAAAAUUUCUUAAAAACCUGUCAUAAAUACCGAAAAAUAUAUAAAUUAUGAAAGUAAUGGUGGUAUAUGGGUUCCAAAUCGAUCGGAGUGAAAAUCUCUAAGAUUUCCUAGAUAAUCUACGAACUUUCUUGCUCUUAGUCCUCUACAUUUUUGUAAGAUUUUAUGAAAAUGCGCAAAAAUGUUAACUGAUGUAAUAGAACACCAAAUAUUUUAAAUAAAACUUAAAUAUUAUACUACACGUUGUCAUAUAUACAAGAAAACAUUUAUGAAAUUUUUUGCAAUUUUUUUUUUUUUUUGGAAUUCCUUUAACCACAGAAAAUAUGGAUUUCAGCAGCAAAAAAUAAUUUUGGUGUACCAAACCGAAAAAUGGUUAAAUAUAUAAAAAAAAAAAUAACAAUAAAAAAAAUAAUUAAAAAUUAUUAAAAUAACAAAAAAUAAUUUUAAUAAUUAAUACAUAAUUAAAAAUAACCAAAUUUAUUAAAAAUUAAAAAAUAAUUCAAAUUAUUAAAAAUUAAAAAAUAAUUAAAGAUAAUUAAAAGUUAAAAAAUAAUUAAAAGCUAUUGUUAAUUAUGCUUUAAUUUUUCAUCAAACUGAAAAAAGAAAAUUAAAGAUUUCAUCUUUAGUAGUGGCAUCUAAUGCCACCAAUUUUAUGUGUUUCAAAGUAGAAUAUGCACGCUAGAAGCAGUUGAAUACUCGUUUAAUGAAGUCAACAGGAUAUAAUAAAGUGUUGUGUAGACAAGUGUUGAAUAAAAUUUUCAGAAAAAAAUCACAUUUUAGGUGAUUCUUGCAUUUAGAAGAAAAUAUAAUAAGAAUACAAAUAUAAAAAGCAAUAGAAAAUUAAAAUAUUUAAUAGCAAAUACUGCAAAAAAUAUUCAGAAAAUAAUUACAACACCGACACACAAAACUAGUAUUAAUGCAAAUUUCAAUUUCCCACGAUCUAUUUUAUAAAUACGUCAACUCGGCAAAUCACUUGAAAAAUUAAGACGACUCUUAUAAGAAACAAAACAAUUGUUAAUUAAAAAAAUAAAUGAAAAAAAAAAUAUUUACAUAUUUCCUGACAUAUUUUUUAAACUAAGUCACUUUUCAAAUUAAUUCAGCGCAAAAUGUAUUUUCAAUUCACUCAUGCAAAUCACAAUCACCAAAUUAAUGUCAUAAACAUAUCACCGAAAUACCACAAAACUCGUAAUUUUCCAAUUAAAAAAAUUAUAAAUUUUCUAAAAAGGAAAUCGUUAACUAAAUUAAAGAUCUGCUCUUGCAUUUUCGCCAGCACAAUGCAUUGAAACACCCAGCACACCCAUCCUGCGGCACGAAAUCAUCACGGAGUCUAACUCAACCUACAAAUUAGCAGCAGUAAAUUAUGAGAAAGUAGUCUAUGAUAUAAGUUUAUCAUUUGUGAAUAAAAAAUAUUAGGUUUUAUUUUUGCACACAUUUUGUAUGAAAACGCAUAAAACAAUUCUGAAAGCCUAGUAGUAGAAAUAUGGAUAGAUUUUCAUUUUUUUAGUGUAAGCUCAGAUAAAAGCUUUUGAUAUUUUAAGCUCAGAUACAAAAUUUUCAUAAUUUAAUGCUAGUUUCAAUGAAAACUUAAAGUAUUUUCAUGAAAGCUCAUAUGCAAACUUUUGAUAUUUUAACGAAAGCUUUUAAUAUUUUAUGAAAGCCUAAGUACAAGCUUUUGUUGUUUUGAUUAAAGCUCAGAUACAAACUUUUAAUAUUUUAAAGAAAUCACUAAUAAAAGCUUCUAUUAUUUUGACAAAAGCACAGAUAAAAAGUUUUGUGAUUUUAAUGAAAGCUCAGAAGCAAACAUUUUAAAUAUAAAUGAUAGGUCAGCUGAAAGCUUUUGACAGUUUGAUGAAUGUUCAGGUACAGGUCUUUUAAAUUUGAAUGAAUGUAAAAGCUUUACACAUUUUGCCAAAAAGCUUUCAUUUAUGUAUAUAGCUUUUUAUAUAUCGAUGAAAGUUCAGACACAAGUUUUUCAUAUUUUAGUGAAAGCUGAGAUGCAAACUUGUCAUAUUUUAACGAAAAUGCCCAUAAAAGCUUUUGAUAUUUCGAUGAAAGCUCAGAUGCAAGUUUUUAUAAUUUAGUGCAAGCUGGGGCAAACUUUUGACAUUUUUAUGAAAGUUCAAGUGAAAGAUUUUUAGCUUUUGAUAAUAAGUCAGAGUUUUCAGUUUUUUUUAUUUUUUGUGAAAGCUCAGAUACAGUUUUUGCUCUUAUAGCAAAACUUGGGAUGAAAGCUUUUGAUACCUUAAUAAAAGUUCAGUUACAAGCUCUUGAUAUUCAUGAAAGCUCAGGUGAAAGCUUCUGAUAAUAAUUUGUUAAAAUUUAUUCAAAAAUUUUGGCAUAUGAAAGCAUUUUUUCCAACAUUUUCAGUCUUUAACAGCUAUUCGUAAAACGUCGUUUUCCAAGUGCUUGUAAUUAAGAAUUACGUGCGUUUUCGUAUGAAAUUUGUGCGCUAGAAUCUUUAGAGUUUCCUUUUAGUAGACAAAACACUUUAGUUCUUCAUAAAAUUAUAUAUGCAACUAUUUGCACUUUCUAAAACUUGUAGCUCUCGCAAAAUAUCAUCAUCUCGAAUAUAAAAUAUCAACAGCGCCUCAUACCAUUUAUAUCAUGUAAACUUUGGCAUAUGCAAAAACAACAAAAGAAUGCGAUGUCAUUCAAACACAUAUACAAAGAAAUGCAAAUCACUUAUACACAUACAAAAAUCAUAUUUACUCACCUAAAAAACACCUUGAAUCACAAAAAUCACAACAAAUACAAAUCAAACCCACUUUACACUUACGCUAACAUAAAAACUAAAAAAACGCAUAAUGCAAAAGCAAAAAGAUUAAAAUGAAUGAAUGUUAAUGAAAACGCUCACCUUACCCACACGCAUAACUCAUAAUAAAAAUUGAAAAAUAUUAAUGAAAAUCGCAUAAAAAAAACUCAUCCACAAUGGUAACAAUAAUUAGGCUUAUAAGUGCGUAAUAUUUAUUAUGUAUUUGUAUUUGUAUUUAUAUAUGUAUAUGUACGUAUGAAUGUUAAACUAUACUAACGCAUAUAUACUGAAAUAACUAAUUUAAGUUAAACUCAAUUAAACUUAACUAAAAUAUUAAUUAUAUAAAUUAUAAAUUAAUUAAUUUAUAUUUAUACAUACAUACCUAUAUAUAUACAUAUGUACACACAUACUUACAAAUCUACAUUAGCGAUUUAAUUCAGAAGCAGCAAAACAACCACGGAUGUGUAAUGCUUUAAACACAUAUUUGUAUUGAUAAUGAUUGUGGCACAUACACACACGCAAACUGCUUUGCAGCGUUGCUUGUGCGCAUAUUUCGUAUUUCAAUAUGUGUAUUUUAUACAGCGAGCAGCAAAAUAGUUGUUUGCAUUUCAUGGUACGCCAUAAGUAGUGGUAGGAGAUAAUAAUUUCCAUUAUGGAAUGUAUUUGAAGCUUUCGAGCUCUUUGUGCUUUUGAGAAAAAGUAAAGUUAAGACUACUUGUGUGUUGCUUUAUUGAGACAUUUGUGUCUUUUUUUUAUGUAAAAAAAUAUAUAUUCGUAUUAAUAUGCUUAUGAGCUUUUUGAGCUUUUGAAAAAAUGCAAGUUGUAAAAUAUUCGACGAAUGCAAGUUUACUAAUUACCAAGAUAUUUUUUAAAGAAAGCUUUGGUUGACAAUUUAGUGUGAAGCACAAGAUACUUCGGUGUAAGCUUUGUUACAAUUUUUGCAAGCUUUAAGCUUUUAUCAACUUCAUCGACAUUUAAGCCUAAAAUUUAUGUUGUUUUUAACAAAAACUUACUUUAAAAUGUCUAAGCAUCCAUGAAAAUUCACAAAAGCUCACAUAGACAUAAUUGAUUUUAGUGCUUAUGCAGCAAUUUUUGCAAUUUUUGUGCUUUUAAAAGUUGUUAGUUAGUUGACAACUCUUCUAAGUCUUAACUGGAAGUAUUAUCUCUACGCCAAGCCACAUAUAUUUACAUACAAAAAAGCUAUUUGAAUUGGUCUCCAAUUUUUCUAUGAAUCACAUAUACAAAAUUGUGAGACAUUUUUAUAAUAAAAAAAAUAAAUAUGCAGGUAUUUUAUAAAAGAAGAAAUAAUGUGUGUACGCUUUCACUGAAAGCUCGCUAGCGCUUUUGUAAGCGCUUACUCACACCUAUGCUGUGCUAUUAAUUGUAAGUUCGUUGCUUAAGUCUUUUGUUUGCGCGCUUCUUUUCCGCCACUGUGAUUCUUCUCUGUAACAUAUGCACUCAUUGCGUGAUUUUAUUUUUUCUUUCGCGAUUCUCUUUAUAAAUUUAGUAAUUGGUAAGCUAAAUUAAUGCAGAAAAUACACACACACACUUACAAAUAAAAGAAAACAAAUGAAAUUUAAUAUAAAAAACAAGAAAAUAUCGAAAUUUAAACAAACUCAAACACACACUCAAUCACUCAUCGCAUCUCUACAACUACAAAACAUAGUAACUGUACAAGUUCAAAACUAAUAAAUUAGUGUAUUAGUAUAUACGCAUACAUACAAAUAUUCAAACCAAAAAUUUAAUUACAAAAAAAAUAAUAAUAAUAUUUAAUACAAUAUAAUGGCAUAAAUAAAUAUUUAAGUGCAUACAUACACAUAACUCCUGUGUCGACUGUAUUAGUUGUCUGAAAACGUUCUAAAUUUUGCGUGAAAUUCGUUAAUUAAACAAUUUCAUAUACAUAAAUAUGUAUUUGUGUCCCGGCUGGGGCAGUGAAAUAGCAAAAGACAUACUUUAGCGUAAUAAAAUACAAAAAUAAAAAUAAAACUAUGAAUACACAAGAGUUGAGCAAAGCGGAAGAUUACAGAGGGUCGUAAUUGAGUUGAAAAUAUAAGUGCAUACACAACAUAAAACCAAAAAUAAAAUAUACAUACAUAUAUACAUAUAAUAUGAUCAAACUAAUUUAAAUAUUAUAAAAAUAUUUAAUGAGAAAUUUACCAAUAAAACUUUCUGUAGCAGUAAACAAAA
Molecule: long non-coding RNA, 7358 nt
Organism: Bactrocera dorsalis (oriental fruit fly)
Lineage: Eukaryota; Metazoa; Arthropoda; Insecta; Diptera; Tephritidae
Exons: 2
Source: RefSeq, a predicted model, not a curated record